Molecule: non-coding RNA, 1232 nt
Organism: Nicotiana tabacum (common tobacco)
Lineage: Eukaryota; Viridiplantae; Streptophyta; Magnoliopsida; Solanales; Solanaceae
Source: RefSeq, a predicted model, not a curated record
AAAAAAGCAAAAUGAAAUUAUAUCAAAAAAAGAUAGGAAGAAAACAUGGACCUUUUCAUUUUGCUAUGAUUUCUCACGGAAAUUCCUUUUGAGAUUUCAAUUUUGAUAUUGUGGGGGCCACACAUUUUCAAAAGAAUCCUGACUUCUUUUCCAAGGACGACACACACAUAUAUACGAGGAUUCACGUCACUUUCAGAGGGGGGGCCACACGGUUUUGGACACUUCUUUUUCUCCAAGCAAUUACUCCAUUUUCAUGGACAAAAACACAGAAAUAGAGUGAGAGGGACGGGAAUAAUAGUGAGAGGGCUCACCCAUCUUCUUCUCCAAAAAAUCCGCCGCCACCCUCCACCAGCGAGUUUAGCCGGGAAAUCCGGCAACCACACCCCUCCAUUUCCUCUGUUGUCCACCACCACCUAGCAACAACGACCCAUCUCCCUUACUCUAAAAACAACCAGCAGCCACACACCACCAAACCAACCGGACCUCUUCUGUAGAAAACAUCCAUGCUCACUUUCUCUCUCUAUCUAGUCUCCAAUUUGUCAAUCAUCACUCUUCUCCUUUUCUAAUUUCUUCAGAAAUAUCAGCUAAAUUGGAAAAAAUCGGCUGCUAGAAUGCUUCUUCGGUUAAGCUCGCCAUAAAUGUGAAACCUCUGUUCUAUCUCGUGCUUCCUACUCCUCUGCUGCUUAGUUGCAUUUGUUUCUGCUCAAAUAUCUAACAAUGCUACCUCUAAAUGGCUUACACUGAGCGAUCUCGCUUGAGGUUGAGUCCAGUUGGGGAUUUUCAUUUUUGUCGCGAUUUCCAAUCCGAUCAACGGUUCAAGCUUCGUUUCAUCUGUUCAUGUUGGGAUUUGUUCAAAUUUUGAUCGGAAAUCUGUGUAUAUGUUUCAAAGUAUCAAGGGAGUUUUCACUACUUGAAGAUCCAGGUAUUUCUAAACCUAGUAGCGGGUGUUGAUUAUUCAGUGGCAGGUCCAUCGGAGUUAGCAAGGUAGCUUCCUGGAAAUCGCAACCCUGCUUCUCUCCCUCCUUAUCCUCCCUUAGGUGUAAUUAGUUAUUUCUAGGCUAUGUUAGUCUUGUUAUUGUUAGACGGUUGUAGUAGAUGCUCAUGACUAGUGACACCCUGAUGUCGGGCUUUCUUUCCACACUGUUGUUUUGAUUUAAACAUGUUAUGAAGGUUUAUUGUUAAAUAGCUUUGAUUUUAUCUUUAAAAUGAAAAUAUUGAUUGGUUUUUGGAAA